CACACACACUCUCUCUCAUACACACACAGUCAGGCCACAUGUUCAGCAGCCAGCCUGUUGUAUCCACCGCAGAUGAACCGACUGAACUGUGCAUAGAAAGACCAGGCAGCUGACGUCUGGCUGUGAGCAGAGAGCUAGACGUGAAGCAGAGCAGGAGUCACAGUCCACGCGACGAGAUAUCCUGAAAACUGAUCAGGAAGCAACUGAAAUCAGCUUGUUUAGGAAAUCUGGAGUCUGGGGCUGAGGGACAAUAAGGAACCAGCAGCCACAAAAAGGCAUUUCUUGGACCUCAGCAGCCCAGGACUUGACCCUGAACAGCAGGAAAGAUGGAGUGCAGCAGGGAUUAUAACGGCUACAGCUUGACAUUGGUCAAACCGAGGCCUCCUCCAUCAACACAAAGCCAGACGGACUCUUUCCUGACCGCAGCCCGGUUGGCCCGCGAAGGACUGCUGGAGGACGGAAGAACAGGACGGCAGUUUUCUGCUCUUGGACAGUCUCCUUCUAGUUCACAAGAAAACCAUGGUGCUGUCUUGAAAGGCCUGAGGAUCAGGCGGUACACCAUCGUCUCCAGGAGGAAGAUGGAAACCGGCAGAAAGACGAACAAUGAAGAGGGAAAGCAGACCCCUCAAGGUGCCUCCACAGCAAAAAUAGAAGCAGAGAGACAGAAGGUGUGUUUCAGUGCAUCUGACUGUCGCUUCACAUGUAGACAACCUGGAAGGUUUAAAGUUGCAGUGUUACCUGUAAUAGCAGAAAUUUAGGCAACAUUAUAGUCAGAGUUCCAGACUUGUUGGUAAAUUUGUGGUUUUGAGGUUUGAAAAACACCUGAAGGCUAAUGUUUGGUUAUUCCUAACAUCAGCACUAUCUAGUUUAAGAGAAAGUCUAAGAUUAAGCAUUUGACUUACGUACUGAGACUACAGGAGACAGCCAUCAGCCUUUUAUUAAAUACAUCACCUGAAGUCAGUAGUUUGUAUUUGACUGUUUUCCAACUAAGACACACUGGCUUCACCUUGCAACCUUAAGGCAGUGGCAGUGACACCCAUAGUUUCAGGGGGGAAAACAUUGAUAUUUGAACACAUUUCAAUUUACUAGAGAUUAAAACACUGACAUCUAGUGGCCGUAAGUGGAUGUUCAGUUGCACAAGAUUUUUCCCGUUACAACCUGUAACUAAUAUAUUUUAUUUGGAUAGUAGCACAUUAUUGUAUGGGGAAGGGAACCGCCAAUAUAUUUUUUUUAUUGUUUAAAAAAAAUAGUUUUUUUUAUUUUUACAUUUUUGUCAUUAAAAACACCCUGGAAAGUGUGGAGUGCAUUUCUGUCCAAGCAAUCGCACAAAGAUCUAGGGAGACUGAUGUAAGACAGACAUGAAGACAAGCGCAAAAUAAAAUGGCUUUUGCAUUAUCAUACUAUAAUGUAAUAUAGUCAAGCUAAAAAUACCACUGUGGUCAGUAAGUACACAUCAGCAAGAAAAACCAGUUGGUUGACUGGUUUAUUUAUUGUGCCCCGCCACGUUUCUUGAAUUUAUUUCUGUUGAGCGACCAUGCUACUUUCAUUUGGCGGUUGUUAAUUUAACCAAGUACAUAAAACCUUUACAGGAAGGUUUGCCGAAGCAGUAAAAUGUUAGUUUUCUGCAUGUCAACUGUGUUUCUCUCCGAUCUUCCAAAAUUUGUACUCCUGCAAAUAAUAUAUGAACAAAUAUAUAACAUAGGCAAAUGCUACAUUUGCAAUAUAUCAUCUUAAGAGACUCCACUGAGCAUCUCAGGUAAGACCCUGUUGGUCUGCUGUAACAUAAUGAAUGACAUUUUAUAGCCAAUAUUAUGAUAACUGUGUUCAGAGGCUCUUCAGACGUUGACCAGAGGCCCAACACUUGAAAGGACUUCAUGCCAAUCUUCAAUAUAUCAUAAAAUUAGAAUAUAAUAAAAAAGUUGAUUUAUGUCAGUAAUUCCAGUCAAAAAGUGAAACUUGUAUAUUAUGAUCGUUCAUUACACAGAUUGAUGUUUUUCAAAUGGUUAUUUCUUUUAAUGUUGAUGAUUACAACUCACAACUAAUGAAAAAUCCAAAUUCAGUAUCUCAAGAAAUUACAAUAUUACUCAAGAAAACAAUACAAAAAAAGAAGGAUUGUAGAAAUGUUG
Xiphophorus hellerii (green swordtail) is the source of this 2126-nucleotide long non-coding RNA. RefSeq lists it as uncharacterized. The transcript is spliced from 3 exons. Lineage: Eukaryota; Metazoa; Chordata; Actinopteri; Cyprinodontiformes; Poeciliidae. The record is from RefSeq and is a predicted model, not a curated record.